CAGCCGCCGCGGUAAUACCGGCGGCCCGAGUGGCGGUCACUAUUAUUGGGCUUAAAGCGUCCGUAGCCGGGUUGGGAAGUCCUCCGGGAAAUCUGGCCGCUUAACGGUCCGAAUGCCGGAGGAUACUCCCAGCCUAGGGAGCGGGAGAGGCCGAGGGUAUUCCCGGAGUAGGGGGGAAAUCCUAUAAUCCCGGGAGGACCACCUGUGGCGAAGGCGCUCGGCUGGAACGCGUCCGACGGUGAGGGACGAAGGCCAGGGGAGCAAACCGGAUUAGAUACCCGGGUAGUCCUGGCUGUAAACGAUGCGGACUUUGUGUCGGACAAGCUAUGAGCUUGUCCGGUGCCGGAGGGAAACCGUUAAGUCCGCCGCCUGGGGAGUACGGCCGCAAGGCUGAAACUUAAAGGAAUUGGCGGG
This 414-nucleotide ribosomal RNA is filed under the name uncultured microorganism. Its description in RNAcentral is "bacterial SSU rRNA". It matches the Rfam family "Archaeal small subunit ribosomal RNA", at positions 459 to 872 of the family's 1478-position model. The record is from RNAcentral.